GAUGAACGCUGGCGGCGUGCUUAACACAUGCAAGUCGAACGAAGCAUUUGCGACAGAUUUUUUCGGAAUGAAGUUGCUUAUGACUGAGUGGCGGACGGGUGAGUAACGCGUGGGUAACCUGCCUUGUACUGGGGGAUAGCAGCUGGAAACGGCUGGUAAUACCGCAUAAGCGCACAAUGUUGCAUGACAUGGUGUGAAAAACUCCGGUGGUAUAAGAUGGACCCGCGUCUGAUUAGCUAGUUGGUGAGAUAACAGCCCACCAAGGCGACGAUCAGUAGCCGACGUGAGAGGGUGACCGGCCACAUUGGGACUGAGACACGGCCCAGACUCCUACGGGAGGCAGCAGUGGGGAAUAUUGCACAAUGGAGGAAACUCAGAUGCAGCGACGCCGCGUGAGUGAAGAAGUAAUUCGUUAUGUAAAGCUCUAUCAGCAGGGAAGAUAGUGACGGUACCUGACUAAGAAGCUCCGGCUAAAUACGUG
RNAcentral lists this ribosomal RNA (481 nucleotides) under uncultured bacterium. Its description in RNAcentral is "partial 16S ribosomal RNA". It matches the Rfam family "Bacterial small subunit ribosomal RNA", at positions 28 to 507 of the family's 1533-position model. The record is from RNAcentral.